RNAcentral lists this ribosomal RNA (467 nucleotides) under uncultured bacterium. RNAcentral's name for it is "partial 16S ribosomal RNA". It matches the Rfam family "Bacterial small subunit ribosomal RNA", at positions 28 to 507 of the family's 1533-position model. The record is from RNAcentral.
GACGAACGCUGGCGGCGUGCUUAACACAUGCGAGUCGAACGAUGAUCAGGAGCUUGCUCCUGUGAUUAGUGGCGAACGGGUGAGUAACACGUGAGUAACCUGCCCCUGACUCUGGGAUAAGCGUUGGAAACGACGUCUAAUACUGGAUAUGAUCACUGGCCGCAUGGUCUGGUGGUGGAAAGAUUUUUUGGUUGGGGAUGGACUCGCGGCCUAUCAGCUUGUUGGUGAGGUAAUGGCUCACCAAGGCGACGACGGGUAGCCGGCCUGAGAGGGUGACCGGCCACACUGGGACUGAGACACGGCCCAGACUCCUACGGGAGGCAGCAGUGGGGAAUAUUGCACAAUGGGCGAAAGCCUGAUGCAGCAACGCCGCGUGAGGGAUGACGGCCUUCGGGUUGUAAACCUCUUUUAGUAGGGAAGAAGCGAAAGUGACGGUACCUGCAGAAAAAGCACCGGCUAACUACGUG